ACACACUUCUUUAUGUACCCAUAUGAAUUACGCUGCUAUGGAAUGUAAGGAAGUGUGUGG
RNAcentral lists this microRNA precursor (60 nucleotides) under Microcaecilia unicolor. Its description in RNAcentral is "Mun-Mir-1-P2_pre stem-loop". It matches the Rfam family "mir-1 microRNA precursor family", at positions 10 to 70 of the family's 79-position model. Rfam says of the family: This family represents the microRNA (miRNA) mir-1 family. miRNAs are transcribed as ~70nt precursors (modelled here) and subsequently processed by the Dicer enzyme to give a ~22nt product. In this case the mature sequence comes from the 3' arm of the precursor. The extents of the hairpin precursors are not generally known and are estimated based on hairpin prediction. The record is from RNAcentral. Lineage: Eukaryota; Metazoa; Chordata; Amphibia; Gymnophiona; Siphonopidae.